Molecule: long non-coding RNA, 274 nt
Filed under: Capra hircus (goat)
Lineage: Eukaryota; Metazoa; Chordata; Mammalia; Artiodactyla; Bovidae
Description: lncRNA (ENSCHIG00010007364.1)
Source: RNAcentral
CCGUGCGAUUCUACAGAGUGACCACAAGAAGAGCAACUCUCCAGAAAUCUUCAGGUGAAACCCUGCUCACCACCGUGUGCAGUUCAUCAACACCAGUAAAUGUUCUGCAAAGCUGGUUUGUCCCCAGCAGCCCUGGUGGAGCAGUAGUCAUCAGCACCAUCCAGGUUGUCUGACUGUGAAUAGAGUUAAUCAAGGCUCUUGAUUGCAGGAGAAGGCUGUGAUUAAGAUUGAAUCGCCAGUUGUGGCUAGAGAACUCCUUGCCAGAUACGGUGGG